Molecule: ribosomal RNA, 429 nt
Filed under: uncultured bacterium
Lineage: Bacteria
Description: bacterial SSU rRNA
Rfam family: Bacterial small subunit ribosomal RNA
Source: RNAcentral
GUCCAGACUCCUACGGGAGGCAGCAGUGGGGAAUAUUGCACAAUGGGGGAAACCCUGAUGCAGCGACGCCGCGUGAGUGAAGAAGUACUUCGUUAUGUAAAGCUCUAUCAGCAGGGAAGAAAAUGACGGUACCUGAGUAAGAAGCCCCGGCUAACUACGUGCCAGCAGCCGCGGUAAUACGUAGGGGGCAAGCGUUACCCGGAUUUACUGGGUGUAAAGGGAGCGUAGACGGCAGUGCAAGUCUGGAGUGAAAGGCGGGGGCUCAACCCCCGGACUGCUCUGGAAACUGUACGGCUGGAGUGCAGGAGAGGUAAGUGGAAUUCCUAGUGUAGCGGUGAAAUGCGUAGAUAUUAGGAGGAACACCAGUGGCGAAGGCGGCUUACUGGACUGUAACUGACGUUGAGGCUCGAAAGCGUGGGGAGCAAACAG